CCCGAAGCCGGUGGAGUAACCUUUUAGGAGCUAGCCGUCGAAGGUGGGACAAAUGAUUGGGGUGAAGUCGUAACAAGGUAGCCGUAUCGGAAGGUGCGGCUGGAUCACCUCCUUU
RNAcentral lists this ribosomal RNA (115 nucleotides) under Staphylococcus aureus. Its description in RNAcentral is "partial 16S ribosomal RNA". It matches the Rfam family "Bacterial small subunit ribosomal RNA", at positions 1420 to 1533 of the family's 1533-position model. Lineage: Bacteria; Bacillati; Bacillota; Bacilli; Caryophanales; Staphylococcaceae. The record is from RNAcentral.